AUAUCAAUAAGCGGAGGAAAAGAAACCAACAGGGAUUGCCUCAGUAACGGCGAGUGAAGCGGCAACAGCUCAAAUUUGAAAUCUGCCUCUAGGCCGAGUUGUAAUUUGUAGAAGAUGCUUCGGGUGUGGCACUGGUCUAAGUUCCUUGGAACAGGACGUCAUAGAGGGUGAGAAUCCCGUACGUGACUGGCUGCCUUCGCCCAUGUGAAGCUCUUUCGACGAGUCGAGUUGUUUGGGAAUGCAGCUCAAAAUGGGUGGUAUAUUUCAUCUAAAGCUAAAUAUUGGCCAGAGACCGAUAGCGCACAAGUAGAGUGAUCGAAAGAUGAAAAGCACUUUGGAAAGAGAGUUAAACAGUAC
RNAcentral lists this ribosomal RNA (357 nucleotides) under uncultured fungus. Its description in RNAcentral is "eukaryotic LSU rRNA". It matches the Rfam family "Eukaryotic large subunit ribosomal RNA", at positions 40 to 398 of the family's 3401-position model. Lineage: Eukaryota; Fungi. The record is from RNAcentral.